This 1439-nucleotide ribosomal RNA is filed under the name uncultured organism. RNAcentral's name for it is "SSU rRNA". It matches the Rfam family "Bacterial small subunit ribosomal RNA". The record is from RNAcentral.
GCUUAACACAUGCAAGUCGAGGGGCAUCAGGAAGAAAGCUUGCUUUCUUUGCUGGCGACCGGCGCACGGGUGAGUAACACGUAUCCAACCUGCCCUUUACUCGGGGAUAGCCUUUCGAAAGAAAGAUUAAUACCCGAUGGCAUAAUGAUUCCGCAUGGUUUCAUUAUUAAAGGAUUCCGGUAAAGGAUGGGGAUGCGUUCCAUUAGGUUGUUGGUGAGGUAACGGCUCACCAAGCCUUCGAUGGAUAGGGGUUCUGAGAGGAAGGUCCCCCACAUUGGAACUGAGACACGGUCCAAACUCCUACGGGAGGCAGCAGUGAGGAAUAUUGGUCAAUGGGCGCUAGCCUGAACCAGCCAAGUAGCGUGAAGGAUGAAGGCUCUAUGGGUCGUAAACUUCUUUUAUAUAAGAAUAAAGUGCAGUAUGUAUACUGUUUUGUAUGUAUUAUAUGAAUAAGGAUCGGCUAACUCCGUGCCAGCAGCCGCGGUAAUACGGAGGAUCCGAGCGUUAUCCGGAUUUAUUGGAUUUAAAGGGAGCGUAGGUGGACUGGUAAGUCAGUUGUGAAAGUUUGCGGCUCAACCGUAAAAUUGCAGUUGAUACUGUCAGUCUUGAGUACAGUAGAGGUGGGCGGAAUUCGUGGUGUAGCGGUGAAAUGCUUAGAUAUCACGAAGAACUCCGAUUGCGAAGGCAGCUCACUGGACUGCAACUGACACUGAUGCUCGAAAGUGUGGGUAUCAAACAGGAUUAGAUACCCUGGUAGUCCACACAGUAAACGAUGAAUACUCGCUGUUUGCGAUAUACAGUAAGCGGCCAAGCGAAAGCAUUAAGUAUUCCACCUGGGGAGUACGCCGGCAACGGUGAAACUCAAAGGAAUUGACGGGGGCCCGCACAAGCGGAGGAACAUGUGGUUUAAUUCGAUGAUACGCGAGGAACCUUACCCGGGCUUAAAUUGCAGUGGAAUGAUGUGGAAACAUGUCAGUGAGCAAUCACCGCUGUGAAGGUGCUGCAUGGUUGUCGUCAGCUCGUGCCGUGAGGUGUCGGCUUAAGUGCCAUAACGAGCGCAACCCUUAUCUUUAGUUACUAACAGGUUAUGCUGAGGACUCUAGAGAGACUGCCGCCGUAAGAUGUGAGGAAGGUGGGGAUGACGUCAAAUCAGCACGGCCCUUACGUCCGGGGCUACACACGUGUUACAAUGGGGGGUACAGAAGGCAGCUAGCGGGUGACCGUAUGCUAAUCCCAAAAGCCUCUCUCAGUUCGGAUCGAAGUCUGCAACCCGACUUCGUGAAGCUGGAUUCGCUAGUAAUCGCGCAUCAGCCACGGCGCGGUGAAUACGUUCCCGGGCCUUGUACACACCGCCCGUCAAGCCAUGGGAGCCGGGGGUACCUGAAGUACGUAACCGCAAGGAUCGUCCUAGGGUAAAACUGGUGACUGGGGCUAAGUCG